GAAGUCCCACAUCGGGAAACAAAAAAGGAAAAGGGGAGAGGCUGGGAAUAAAAGAAAGGGAGGGCCACGCUUGCAACAUACUUACCUGGACGGGGUCGAUGGGUGAUCAUGAAGGCCCAUGGCCUAGGUUGAUGACCUCCAUUGCACUUUGGGAGGGGUGUCAUCCUAAGGUCUCCCCAAGCGGGAGAGCCUACGUCAUAAUUUGUGGCAGCGGGGGCCUGCGUCCGCGCGGCCCCUGCCAAAUUUUCAGUUCAAAUUUCCUUGUUUUUGAAGUGAUGUGUGUUUGCGUUCGGAAGUUUUCUCGCGUGAUUGUGUUGUUUCUGAAGCUGGCGGCAGCGCAGCUGCGGCGGGUCCUCCGAUGUGGAGGGCUUGACAUAAGUGCAGUCUCGAUGCGAGUAAUGGUUGUCGAGUUGAUGACGGUAGGUCUUUUGAUGUGAACUGCGAACGUCGUGGAGACCUGGUUCUCAACGCAUUCUUCACGACUGGGCCUGGAAUCACGGGUCUUUGCUCGACUGAAACAAAGGGAGGCGUUGAAUUCUCUUAGGUAGGUCUCCUGAAAUUGUAAAAUAUAUAUGUUUCUCUUUCUCCGAUUUACGAAGGAGGCUGUGAAAAACGAAGCGGCGGAUUGUGAUAAAAGGGAAUGCUUGUUAUUUCUGCUAGAUUUGUGUAAAAUACUUAUUUUAACCAGAUCGAAAACGGUCACACAUGGGAGGCAGGACAUGGAAGUCAGGUUCGAAGAUCUGCGGUUGUGUGCUGCACUGUGAUCUUUCUUUCGUUUCGUUUUGUUAUAUUUUUUUUGCUGCUAGGCUGACUUUGAUCAGAUGGUUCCUGCUUGCUCUUUGGUUCCAUGCAAGAUUAUUCCGUUUAACAUGCUUAUGGACUAUGCUGGUUCAGUGGUUUGGUCUUAUUUUUCCUUUGCAUCUUAUCAGAGUUGUUCUCGUGGAGUAGCAGCUUGCAAAUUUAUCCCGUGUUUCUGCAAUCGUGGAGUAAGACUUGUAUAUUCUAUUCCUUUCCAUUCUGAAUGCACUUGUUCUUUUCAUAGAUUCUUUACAUACAUGAAAGCCAUAUCAUCCGGAGAUGGGAGAAAGACUUGUAAGCUUUUCCUCAUCUAAUUGUACUCUUCUUAUUCUAUCAAAACCAAAAAGAACAAAAAGGGUGGUAAAUGUUACGAUUAGAUCACCAGAAGCUUGAUUUAUUUGUCAAGAUGCUCAAAAUUUCUCUUGACUUCCUUUGUUAUUAAUAGGAUAGAUCUCCUGCAACUAGAUUUUCUGUAUUUAAACUUCAGAACAUAGUGGGAGCAUGUAUUCUUGUAAGAACAGUAUAUACGAAAUAGGUCCCAACUCUAUUUGCAAUCAUUCCUACAUGUAUGGUUCAUGAGUUAAAAGCCAUUCAAACACACUUGGUACGAGAACCACACUUUUAUUAGUUAAAUUGUGUGCUUGUGCUACCAACUUCACCGAAGCCCACUUCAGACUUUUUCACGAACGUGAAAACAAGGGAACACGUGUGAUGAUGACGAAUUCCCUCGUGUUAAGAAAAGAGCAAAUUCAUCACUAACAUGGAGAAGUAACUGUGAUCUUUGGGAUACCUUUAGACAGGGGUUGAUUAGACAGAUUGAAUCAGGAGAACAGACCUCAUUUUGGUUUGAUGAUUGGUUAAGCAUUGAAGUCCCUCUCGCUGAUUAUGUGAAAGAGAUGGAUCUGAAUAUGAGCUUGAAUGAAAGAGUUGCUGAGUAUCUGUGUUGCCAAAUGGGGACUGGAAUUGGCAAAAACUUGAGAACAAUCUUCCUCACAAGCUUGUUAACCUUGUAACUAGUGUUCACACUGUGAGAGAGAGAGGAGAGGGAGAGGAAAUUUUGAAACGAGCUUUGGAGCUGGUCUACCCAGAAAAAAGAUUAAGAGUUUCAUGUGGCUGUUAGUCAAGGAUAAAGUACAUACAGCAGUUUUGAGGAAGUGACUGUCACCAAGCAGAAAACAUAUGGAAAGCUGUUGUGAAACGAGAAGAUUAUUAGAACCAAUUCAAAAGCCUGCAAGGGAUGGAGUGGAUUCGAUGGAAUAUGAAAGAUGAAAUUGGACCAACCUUCACAAGAAAACUUCCUUGGAAAUAUUUGUUUGCCCAUACUUGCUGGUUUAUUUGGACAAAAGUGUCAAAAAUUAUUUGGUAGCAAAGAUCGAAAUCCUCCGACUAAUGUUGACUCGAUAGUUUUCAAAGCUUGUUGUGAUUGGCAACUCCUUUGAAGUUAUCCAGCAAGUGAUAGAUUAUACCAGGAAGGGGACUGUGAGGCGAGAGCAAGUAACUUCUUCAAGCUUCAGGAAGAUAGAUCAUCUGAUGUUAGAAAUGAAAGCAUAUGUGCUGGCGUAAUUGUGAACAUGAACAAUGAGUGGCACCUUGGGUUUAGUAGGAAACUUUGGUCAAUCCCGUACAUAAUUGCUACGGUGAAAGGAAUCUAAGAGAACUUUGUAGUGGAAAGUGGGACAUUACGUUCAAAUGUGGAUAGAGGGAAAAUAUUUUAGAAGCUAAAAAUCAGCUGACUUAGCUUUCUUUAGUGACUCUAAUUUUUGUACCUUGAGCAAUGUCCGCCUUAGAGUGUAGUAAAUAUUGUCUGAUAAAUGCUGACUAGGAUCAAAUUUACAUGCAUAUUCCAAACUGGCUUGUUCCAGGGGACCUACUGAAGAAUUUAAUGGUAGGCUUUUUGAGUCGACGGUAAGAUGAUGCAACAUUCAGUCCAGAAGCAAUUUAAUGGGGUAGAUCGUACAUGAAAAUAUGAAAAACCAUUGAAUCCAAUCUGUCACAGGCAAAGUGUUACAUUCUAUGCAGAGUCUUCUUGAAUAAAUACUUCCGUUACAAGCGAGCAACUUAUAAGUCGAUACAAAUAAUGGUAUUUUGCUGAAGAAUCAUCGCCUGACACCGGAAGUUCGCCAAAAACAAGCGGCAUGCAUUAUCUAUAUAUAUCGUCAGCAGAUCCCUAAUGUAAUUUGGGUGUGAAUACUAUAUAUCCAUUCAAUAAACUAAGCCAUCUGUACCUAAUAAGAACCCUGGUCUCAAAACACCAUACCUUUCAGUCCAUAUUAAACCAAUCCUCCUGUACCUUUUCGAAACAUCAGCCUCUAAUCUUGUUGUAAUCACAGAAUGGAGUUCAAAUCAAAACUUCAUAAAUAACAUCCAGCCCUCAUCAUAAUCUGUUGUCUGGGGUUGGGAGAAGAUCAACAACUUUGCCAGCUUUAAAACAUGAGUUACCUGUAUUAUUUCUUUUAAUUCCAAUACUUCAACUUGACAUAGCUGCAGAAGAGAACACUGCAAAUUUUCAUGAUUCCCUCAUCAGAUGACUAAAUAGUUGCAGUAACAAAGGGUAGUGAAGAACACCUCUCUUUUGAAGCUGUAAUCCCAUGUCUGUUCUGGUAAAAAAAAAAAAAAAAAAGAUGUCCCAUGUCUGUUCUUCUCAAUGGAUCUCGAAGAUGUCAUCAAACAGUAGAAUUAACAGGCACAAAAAACGCGAACACGUGGUAUAUAAUUUAUGAUUUGUAAGGCGAAAAGUGUGCUAUAAAACAAACGUGUGGAUUGCAGAUGUUGUAAUGUGAUGGAAGCCCCACAUCGGUGAGAUAAAAAGGGAGACGGAGGAGGCAUGGGCUAUAAAACAAAAGGCAAGGCAACGAUGCCAACAUACUUACCUGGACGGGGUCAAUGGGUGAUCAGUAAGGCUCAUGGCCUAGGUUGACGACCUUCAUUGCACAAGCGGAGGGGUGUCACCCUAAGGUCUCCCCAAGUGGGAGAGCCUACGUCAUAAUUUGUGGUGGAGGGGGCCUGCGUGCGCGCGGCCCCUGCCCAAUUUUUAGUCCAAUGCAUUUCGAUUCUGUGAUUGUUUGAUAUGAAAUGUGUUUUAUCUUUGUCAGAUCACUUCGAUUUGGUGUUUUUUGAGUGCUUAAUUAUUUAAUGCUUCGGCUUCGUAAUAGCUCGCACUGAGCCUCUAUCUAGUUUGAGUUAUUGUCUUUUUAAUCUGAAAGAUUUGAUGUAUAUUUCUUUAACAGAACUCGUCGCUUCUAAAUUCUCGCACCUGAUUGUUUAUGUGUAGUCUACAUCCGCUAGGCUGCUGUUCUGCGAUGGGUCCUCCGAUACGGGGGGUCGAUGUUGGUGCUGGCUCGAUGCUUAUUAUGGUUCUAGGAAUGGUGCCGGUAGAUCUCUCGAUGUGAACCGCAAACGUUGUGGAAAACCUGGUGUUUAGGAUCCGAGUCUCGAGGUGGAUGAAUCGAAUGAGUGGGAGAAGCUAAGGAGUAUUCUUCUUGCUUCAGCUUAGGGUUCACGAUUGGACCUGGAAUCGAGGGGGCAUCGAUCUUAGAAACAACGAAAGGCGAUGAAUUCUGAUAGGAAUAAUUCACGGACUAUCAGAUUCUUGAUUAUUGGUUUGCAGGUUUUUUGUGGCAAAUAUAAUUGCCGUUCUUUCAUUUAAUUGUGGAUAAAAAUUGUAAAAAAAAAAAUGUUUCCCAUUCUAUGAUUUAGGAAGGAGUCUGAAAACCAAAAUGUUUCUGGUAGGUGAGUUGUGAACCCACUGAUAUAAUAUAAUCGAAUGGAAAAUGGCGGCACGGGAGGGAGUGUAUGAAUGAAGAAAGGUUUGAAGCUCUGCAAUGGUGUACCUGACUUUGCUCAUUUAUUUGUUUCUCGUCAUUUUGCCUUGUAAGGAGUGCUGCUAGGUUGACUUCUAUCAGAUGAUUUUGCUUGCUCUUGAUUCCUGUACUAAUCCAAAUAUGAAGGACCAACACUGCUUCAUCUUCUUCCUCGUUUCACAAAUCUGAAGAGUCGCCAAGGGCUUGAACGCCAUAAAGGAAGAUAGAAGAACAAGGGUGAGACAAUUUGCUUGUGCUAGCAAAGUUCAUGCAUACCCACUUCAGACUUGUUCACGAAUAUGAAAACAAGGGAAUAAGCAGCGAAAUAAAUGAGCUCCAAAGCUGAAAACACACCCAAAUAAUUCCCCAGAUCUCUCUCUUGUAGCAGUUUGAGUAAUUGGAAUGCCAUAAACAGGUUCUGGAACCAUAUAUUGCUGAUAGGACGAGCUUCUUUCAACAGGAUCAGGUUCCAUUACACUCUCGUGAAGGUGCAUGAACUGGACUUGGAUAUGUCAAUUCUGGAGCAGGUUCCAAAGUCGGUUGCAACAAGAAGGUCCCAUGUUCUGUUCAGCUUCAAGCCACGGUGGUAAGGGUGGAGCCGAUGGCUCAGUGGAGGAGGAGCAACCGCAGCAAUGGUAGCAAGGAGGAGGUGGAGGAGGAUAGUAAGGAGGAAGACGAACUGGAACCAGAACUUGGAAGAAUUCAGUGGGAUGCAAAGGGUAAUAUAGAUUUUGCUGUUGUUUGUGCCUAUAAAGUGACGCUCACAACCUUGAAGACAAGAUACUAAUAUGGACCGUUGGUAAGAGCGUGCUGGUUUGUAGACUUUUAUGCUUUUCUGUUUUUUAAAUUUAUGACCGUUACACUACUGCCACUAGUCCCAAAUCAUCAUCCACAUACCACAAUCCACACUAAAAAGCCCAGAGACAGAUUCACAAAUAACUUUUUCGGCGUUCACUUCUCAAGUUAAACCACACUUCAGAUACAUUUUAGCAUAUGAUACACUUUCAUGGGGGCAAAAAGAUCACGAGAAAAUCACACGAACAACAUAUACACUUUCUUUUUUUUCUGGCUUCCUAAAUUUGUACUAUCUUAUUCCUGAACUAUUCCCCCUAUUUUGAAUAUAAAACAUGUUUUAAAACACAUUUUGCAGAUUUUUAAAAGCAAUUGAUAUCUCUCUUCCCAUAUUUGCUCAUA
Molecule: long non-coding RNA, 5792 nt
Organism: Prosopis cineraria
Lineage: Eukaryota; Viridiplantae; Streptophyta; Magnoliopsida; Fabales; Fabaceae
Exons: 4
Source: RefSeq, a predicted model, not a curated record